RNAcentral lists this ribosomal RNA (468 nucleotides) under uncultured bacterium. Its description in RNAcentral is "partial 16S ribosomal RNA". It matches the Rfam family "Bacterial small subunit ribosomal RNA", at positions 28 to 507 of the family's 1533-position model. The record is from RNAcentral.
GACGAACGCUGGCGGCGUGCUUAACACAUGCAAGUCGAACGGCAAGGCCCUGCUUUUGUGGGGUGCUGGAGUGGCGAACGGGUGAGGAACACGUGAGUAACCUGCUCUUGACUUUGGGAUAACUUCAGGAAACUGGGGCUAAUACCGGAUAGGAGAUCCUGCUGCAUGGUGGGGGGUGGAAAGUUUGGGCGGUUGGGGAUGGACUAGCGGCUUAUCAGCUUGUUGGUGGGGGAGUGGCUUACCAAGGCUUUGACGGGUAGGCGGCCUGAGAGGGUGACCGGCCACAUUGUGACUGAGAUACGGCGCAGACGCCUACGGGAGGCAGCAGGGGGGAAUAUGACACAAUGGUCGGGAGCCUGAUGCAGCAACGCCGCGUGCGGGAUGACGGCCUUCGGGUUGUAAACCGCUUUCGCCUGUGACGAAGCGGGAGUGACGGUAAUGGGUAAAGAAGCACCGGCUAACUUCGUG